Molecule: ribosomal RNA, 506 nt
Filed under: uncultured bacterium
Lineage: Bacteria
Description: partial 16S ribosomal RNA
Rfam family: Bacterial small subunit ribosomal RNA
Source: RNAcentral
GAUGAACGCUAGCUACAGGCUUAACACAUGCAAGUCGAGGGGUAACGAGAGGAAAGCUUGCUUUCCUUGUCGACGACCGGCGCACGGGUGAGUAACGCGUAUCCAACCUGCCCCCAACUAGGGAAUAACCUUGCGAAAGUAAGACUAAUACCCUAUAAUUUCUUCAGAUGUCAUCUGACGAGGAAUAAAGAUUUAUCGGUUGUGGAUGGGGAUGCGUCUGAUUAGCGUGUUGGCGGGGUAACGGCCCACCAGGGCAACGAUCAGUAGGGGUUCUGAGAGGAAGGUCCCCCAAAUGGGAACUGAGACACGGUCCAAACUCCUACGGGAGGCAGCAGUGAGGAAUAUUGGUCAAUGGGCGGAAGCCUGAACCAGCCAAGUAGCGUGCAGGAUGACGGCCCUAUGGGUUGUAAACUGCUUUUAUACAGGAAUAAAGUUAGCCACGUGUGGUUAUUUGUAGGUACUGUAUGAAUAAGGACCGGCUAAUUCCGUGCCAGCCGCCGCAGUAA